Molecule: long non-coding RNA, 451 nt
Organism: Armigeres subalbatus
Lineage: Eukaryota; Metazoa; Arthropoda; Insecta; Diptera; Culicidae
Exons: 3
Source: RefSeq, a predicted model, not a curated record
AGAUUGAUUCUUUGACGAUGGAGCUAGCGAGCGAGGCUUUCACGGCAAUAAGAACACCGCCGCCAGAGGAUUUAUCGGCAUUGGACAAUGUACGAUCGCAACGAAAACAUAAAUAUCAUAGUCAUGUUCGAGGGACGACAAGAACACUGACUGCAAUCGAUUAGCACCGCGGAUGCUGUUCAUGUUUUGGAAAAGAAACGGACGUAGAGGAGGUGGGAGAAUUUGAGAACGUUGGCGGAGAAACGAUGACGGGUGCGUGCAAAUUGAGACUAGGGCUCGAAACGAAAGACCUCAGGGCGUGUGGAACGAGCAAAUUCGAACUCUCGGAAAUAUAUACCCUUUUGCCACGACGUGGCCAGCAGUGCCUUUUCUCUUAAAUCCAUUUGUACACCGACCUUGAAGGAAACGAAGGACAAUUCCUCAAGUUUUCGACCCUUAGGAAUGAGCUUAA